Molecule: ribosomal RNA, 253 nt
Filed under: uncultured bacterium
Lineage: Bacteria
Description: partial 16S ribosomal RNA
Rfam family: Bacterial small subunit ribosomal RNA
Source: RNAcentral
UACGGAGGGUGCAAGCGUUAUCCGGAUUCACUGGGUUUAAAGGGUGCGUAGGAGGGCAGGUAAGUCAGUGGUGAAAUCCCCGAGCUUAACUUGGGAACUGCCGUUGAUACUAUCUGUCUUGAAUGUUGUGGAGGUGAGCGGAAUAUGUCAUGUAGCGGUGAAAUGCUUAGAUAUGACAUAGAACACCAAUUGCGAAGGCAGCUCGCUACACGAUUAUUGACUCUGAUGCACGAAAGCGUGGGGAUCAAACAGG